GAGGGUAUAGCUCAGUGAUGUAGAGUGUGUGCUUAGCAUCUAUGAGGUCCUGGGUUCAAUGCCCAGUACCUCCA
This 74-nucleotide transfer RNA is filed under the name Camelus bactrianus (Bactrian camel). It matches the Rfam family "tRNA". From Rfam's summary of the family: Transfer RNA (tRNA) molecules are approximately 80 nucleotides in length. Their secondary structure includes four short double-helical elements and three loops (D, anti-codon, and T loops). Further hydrogen bonds mediate the characteristic L-shaped molecular structure. tRNAs have two regions of fundamental functional importance: the anti-codon, which is responsible for specific mRNA codon recognition, and the 3' end, to which the tRNAs corresponding amino acid is attached (by aminoacyl-tRNA synthetases). tRNAs cope with the degeneracy of the genetic code in two manners: having more than one tRNA (with a specific anti-codon) for a particular amino acid; and 'wobble' base-pairing, i.e. permitting non-standard base-pairing at the 3rd anti-codon position. RNAcentral also lists the same sequence under 2 other names. The record is from Rfam by way of RNAcentral. Lineage: Eukaryota; Metazoa; Chordata; Mammalia; Artiodactyla; Camelidae.